Molecule: long non-coding RNA, 1373 nt
Organism: Podarcis muralis (Common wall lizard)
Lineage: Eukaryota; Metazoa; Chordata; Lepidosauria; Squamata; Lacertidae
Source: RefSeq, a predicted model, not a curated record
CCACGCAUUCCUAAUGAGCUGCAGGGACAGGCGGCGGCAGCCUGCCCUUCCUGCUCCAGUCUUGCAGGAGCCUCUGCUGGGCACGCCCCUCUCCCCUCCUCCUCCGCCACCAGAGAAGUGCCGGCUCAAUCCUUCCACGUUUCUAUGUGCAGGAAAGAGAUUCCUCUGUAGCCCAGUUCAAUGCCUAGAGCAGCAGCUCUCCAGGGAUUCCUCAGGCAGAGGAGGGUCAUCUUUCCCCUCACCCAGGGAUUGAGCCAGGGGACUUUCUGCAAAUCAGUCAGAAAGUGCCAACUUGCAACCCAUCCAAGAUAAUGGCAAUGGCAGAAUGAUUUUCAAGGGAUAGAAUUCAGGAGCAGGGCUCACUGUUGCCUGAAAAUGGGGCACGACUUCCUCUGCAGAAGAAAAAUUGCAAGGAAGAAGGAACCUGGAGCAGGACUUGACAUGUACCUGAUCGGCUGAUCUGCUGUGAUGUCAUGGAACCUUCACAAUUCGGCGGGGAAGCCAUCACACAAGGACAAUGGUGGCUCUCAGUCUUCCUCAUCAUUGGAGGACAUUCUGCAAACAAUGACAAGCAGGGUAGACCGGUACCCCAAAGUGCUUGGCUGUGGGUCAGAUGCACUUGGUGGGGCUGGUGGUGUCUCACUGAGAAACAUGGCGAUGUGCAGCUGGCGCUUUUGUCUUUUCCGCUGGUCAGGGCACACUUGGUGUCUCCUCAGCUGGUCAGGGCAUGCUUGGGCAGCCUCCUGCUCCACGGAUGCAGCUUCAACAUGGUUGCCAAUGUUCUUCAGAUUGACACAUCAUUUGAAGCUGGCUCAGAACUUUGCAGGCUGCUUGAAGCGUGCAUACGUGCAUGCUUGCGUGCUUGCGCAAGGUGCUGCCAUCAAUGGGGAUACGCUGGAGAGUCAUGUCCUCUAACCACAGGUUCAGGGCCUCAUGUGCCUUCCCCCAUGGCCUCGUCUCGCACGUACCUGGGGACCUUGGCAGUUGUAGGUGUACUCGCUGCCACUGAUGCCCAGAUUUAUCUCUCCCAUAUCUUAGUGGCACCUAUGCUGGAUUCAUUCCUGCCAAACUUGUGUGCCACAGCACAAAUGCUCAUGCCAUCCUGUAAACAGUCCAGUACUUCCAACUUCUCCUCCAGUCUGGGCCACCACUCGCUGCCUUUUGGGUUUGUCAUCACCUGAGGAAGACGACGAUGCGUGUGUUCAGGUGUCAUCUCAAAACAACAACAACAACAACAAAACACCUCUUCAAAAAAACCUCUCCAAACAACUAAAAAAAAAAAUCUCAAAAAACUCCUCCAGAAACUCCUCCAAACUCCGCCAAUAAUCUGCCAAAUUCUACCACAAUUGCUUCCUCCCUCCCUCAAACUCCAA